GUUAGGUUAGUUUCUAGGGGAUUGCGGGGUCGCAGCCGCGCUCGUAGUUUGAUAUCUUUCCCGUGUUACAAAUGUCAAAUAUAUUAAAAAUAUUCUUAAUUUAAGUAUUUUCAUGAAGUUGCUGCACACUGCGUUACACUAAUACAUUGAGGGAUAUCUGUGAAAAUGUCUACUCCACCACAUUUACUGAGACUAAAGUGAGCCACAGUAAUGGACCAGCAUGCCCAACUAGCUGCCCAAGUACAGGCACAGGCUGCUGUACAAGCAGCUUUCCGGUAGAAAUUAUAGUUAAACCACCAAUGUCUAAGAUGUCUGAACAACCAGAGUUUAUAUUAGAAUACGAACUUCUGGAAAAAAGUAACAUCUAUAGAAAGCAAUUAUUGCAAUAUAUAGUCUUUUUGCAAUAACUUUAUUUCAGCACAAAAGUGGCAAGUGCUGCAGUUAAAAUGGUUUGCAAAUUUAAAAAGGAAGCUCGAAUUACUGGAUAUCGAUUGCCCUUGCGGCAGUCUUAUGUUCUGUCCUAUUUGUCAGGAAUACUAAUUCACAGUAAACAUGUGAUACACAUACUAAAUAAUUACUUUACUAAAUGGUAACUUGCACGCGUAUCAAACUAUUUAUUUUAAAUUACUGAGAUUCCCUGUGUAGUGAAAGCAUUUCUAUCAUGCGAGCGUGACGGCGAAUGCCGCGCGUGUUAAACUUUUGAGAUAUUUCCCAGUUGAAGUACCUCCUUCCAUUUAAUGUUACGUUAAAACAAUAUGCAAACGGCAAACUUAAAUUUACACGUGACUCCGGCACGACUAAACUCGUCGCCUCGAUAUAACUUAAUUUUAAAUAAUUUUAAUAUUGACAAUGUCAACAACGAUGCAAUUGAUACAUUUUCUUGAUGAGUAUUAUGCUAUAAUAUAUGUAUUUAUGUAAUAUAUGUAAUAAUGUAUGUAAUAUGUAAUAUAUGUAUGUAUAAUACAUACAUUGUCGAUAUUAAGGAUUCUGUAUCCUCACUUUGGCUGUUAUUUAAUUAUGUCAAAAACGAGAAAUAGUAUUUCAAUUUAUAUUGUCAAGUUAUGGAAAUUGAAAAAUACAUGCAUAAAAUGACAAUCUUGAUCAAUUCAGCACAUUUGCAAAAAUAUUCAGACACUUUAACCUCAGUAAUCUAUAUAUGUAUAUAUAAUAAAUUUAUUUAAAAUUUAUUUAAAAAAAUUUUUUAAUUUAGAAUUUUAAUAAUAAAUUUAUUAAAAUAAAUUUAUAUAUUAAAUUUAUAUAUUAAAAAUUAUAUAUUAAAUUUAUAUGUUAAAAAUUUAUAUAUUAAAAAUUAGUGUAGCAUGCAACUUGCGUUUUUAACCCAUCUGAUUUCCCCUGAUUUCUAUUGCGUUAAUUUUACGGCUGCUUAUUGUUUAGGUUAAAGGAAAAUGUCCGGAUAUUUUUAUAAGUGCGUUGAAUCGAUCAUAACAGUCAUUUAGUGUAUGUAUUCUUUAAUUUCUAUGUAUACUGUAAUAUAAAUUGACAUGCAAUUUCUCGUUUCUAACGUCAUCAAAUAAGGACAACCAUAGCGAGGACCCAGGAGCCUUAAGAUUAUUUAACAGAAAGUUUCUAUUUAGUACGCGUAUUAAAUGUUUAGUUUAAAGUUGAUUGUUCCAAUCCCAUAGUAAGCUACCUGACAGUUCAAAUGUGCAGGCGGCCUAACUCUCGUCUUGAAACGAAGAGAGACGAUUUUCAGCGCCUCUAUCAUGGGUCUCACCAAUCGAACUAAAGAGAUCACGUGACGUGGAAUGAGGAUAUUUAAAUACAUUUGGACGCGCACGAGAGAAUUGAUAUAUUUGGAGAAUAAAUCUUUGAUUUAUUCUUUUAGCUGCACUGCUAAAUUAGUGCAAUAAGUUAGAGUGAGAACAACAUAUUUGUCUCAUUUUAACUUAUUACACUAGUUCAGCAAUGUAGCUGAAAAGAACAGACCAAAGGUCAUAUCUUACAAUCAAGUAACAGUAAUAUUAUAUCAAUAUUAUAAUUUUCUACUUUUUUCCCGGCUUUAUAGCUAAAGACAGUGUAGCUUUGCUUUUCUUUAUUUUAAAUAAAACUAAAAGUUUUAUGUCAGCAAUAGUUUCUAUAUUUACUAGAAUAGCAGGCAUUCAUUGUUAUUAAGUUAUUUUUUACAUAUGUCUAUAAAUAAAAUAUUUUAUAUAUA
Odontomachus brunneus is the source of this 2176-nucleotide long non-coding RNA. RefSeq lists it as uncharacterized. The transcript is spliced from 2 exons. Lineage: Eukaryota; Metazoa; Arthropoda; Insecta; Hymenoptera; Formicidae. The record is from RefSeq and is a predicted model, not a curated record.